GACGAACGCUGGCGGCGUGCUUAACACAUGCAAGUCGAACGGGGCUGCUAUGAUGGAGUUUUCGGACAACUGAUUAGUAUGCCUAGUGGCGGACGGGUGAGUAACGCGUGAGUAACCUGCCUUUCAGAGGGGGACAACAGCUGGAAACGGCUGCUAAUACCGCAUAAUAUAUACAGGUCGCAUGAUUUGUAUAUCAAAGAUUUAUCGCUGAAAGAUGGACUCGCGUCUGAUUAGCUGGUUGGUGAGGUAACGGCCCACCAAGGCGACGAUCGGUAGCCGGACUGAGAGGUUGAACGGCCACAUUGGGACUGAGACACGGCCCAG
RNAcentral lists this ribosomal RNA (324 nucleotides) under uncultured bacterium. Its description in RNAcentral is "bacterial SSU rRNA". It matches the Rfam family "Bacterial small subunit ribosomal RNA", at positions 28 to 334 of the family's 1533-position model. The record is from RNAcentral.